GACGAACGCUGGCGGCGUGCUUAACACAUGCAAGUCGAACGGAAAGGCCCUGCUUUUGUGGGGUGCUCGAGUGGCGAACGGGUGAGUAACACGUGAGUAACCUGCCCUUGACUUUGGGAUAACUUCAGGAAACUGGGGCUAAUACCGGAGAGGAGCUCCUGAUGCAUGGUGGGGGUUGGAAAGUUUCGGCGGUUGGGGAUGGACUCGCGGCUUAUCGGCUUGUUGGUGGGGUAGUGGCUUACCAAGGCUUUGACGGGUAGCCGGCCUGAGAGGGUGACCGGCCUCAUUGGGACUGAGCUACGGCCCAGACUCCUACGGGAGGCAGCAGUGGGGAAUAUUGCACAAUGGGCCGAAGCCUGAUGCAGCCACGCCGCGUGCGGGAUGACGGCCUUCGGGUUGUAAACCGCUUUCGCCUGUGACGAAGCGUGAGUGACGGUAAUGGGUAAAGAAGCACCGGCUAACUACGUG
Molecule: ribosomal RNA, 468 nt
Filed under: uncultured bacterium
Lineage: Bacteria
Description: partial 16S ribosomal RNA
Rfam family: Bacterial small subunit ribosomal RNA
Source: RNAcentral